This 72-nucleotide transfer RNA is filed under the name uncultured archaeon. RNAcentral describes it as "tRNA-Thr(tgt)". It matches the Rfam family "tRNA". Rfam says of the family: Transfer RNA (tRNA) molecules are approximately 80 nucleotides in length. The record is from RNAcentral.
GCCUCCGUAGCUCAGUGGUAGAGCGCCUGUCUUGUAAACAGGAGGUCGAGAGUUCAACUCUCUCCGGAGGCU